GAGCUUUCUAGGGGGGAGAGAAGGCCUUCCGUCCUCUGGAGGAGCGGGGUGCGGCUGCUAGUGCCGCCCGCACCUGGGGAAUCAGAACAGCCGAGUUGGCGAGCAGGACCGGAGCCCUUCCAGCCCGACCUGAAUUCUCUUUCUCCCCCACUGAAAAGCUAGAAAGCAAUAACACGCCUCAAUCAGUAUUCUAAGUCCAUCACUUCUCUGCUGGAGGAGGGAACAGGAAAAAGUUAAUAACAACAGGAUAUUUCUCUUGGAGUCUGAGUUGCUGAAUUACAGUGUCUCCCAAUGUUCUCACUGAUGGAUGGAUUCCCUCCACAAUAAAGAUGACAACACAACCCACAAAGGAUUCAUGGACAGUAACAAGAGUGAAUGGAAAACAUCUGCAUGAUGUUUGAUGUUUGAUGUUUAAUGUUCUGAACAUUUUCUUAAGAGGUAAAAUGAAAAUCAAGCAAUGAUGGUGAAACAAUGUACAGGAAGCUUCAGA
Dromiciops gliroides (monito del monte) is the source of this 490-nucleotide long non-coding RNA. RefSeq lists it as uncharacterized. The transcript is spliced from 4 exons. The record is from RefSeq and is a predicted model, not a curated record. NCBI's taxonomy places the organism in Eukaryota, Metazoa, Chordata, Mammalia, Microbiotheria, Microbiotheriidae.